GCUAACGGCUGAACUGGCAACUUGGAGAAGUGGCAAGUCUUCCAGUAUGGGGAGCAAAACAGCUAUGGGUCAAGUCCGAUAUCUUUAGGAGAAGUCUUAUUGUGAGGGCGAGUUAUAUAACACCAUAGGACUGGCCGUCCCAUAUGAAAAGAUUAUAUUAGAAUUGAAUGAAGCUUUGUUUAUAUAUUGAUAAUGACAGUAUAUAUAUCGUGUCUUGACUAAUUGCGUGCCAGCAGUCGCGGUAAUACGUAAGAGACUAGUGUUAUUCAUCUUAAUUAGGUUUAAAGGGUACCCAGACGGUCAAUAUAGCUUAUAAAAUGUUAGUACUUGACUAGAGUUUUAUGUAAGAGGGCAGUACUUGAGGAGGAGAGAUGAAAUUUCGUGAUACCAAAGGGACUCUGUAAAGGCGAAGGCAGCCCUCUAUGUAAAAACUGACGUUGAAGGACGAAGGCACAGAGAACAAACAGGAUUAGAUACCCAAGUAGUCUUUGCAGUAAAUGAUGAAUGCCAUAGGUUAGAUUGAUCAAUUAUAGUCUAGGGUUAGUNUAGCAAACUAAUGCCCUAUGAUAUAAUUCAAAAUAUCUGGUCUAUAAAUGAAAGUGUAAGCAUUUCACCUCAAGAGUAAUGUGGCAACGCAGGAACUGAAAUCACUAGACCGUUUCUGACACCAGUAGUGAAGUAU
This 682-nucleotide ribosomal RNA is filed under the name Fusarium oxysporum f. sp. cubense. Its description in RNAcentral is "SSU rRNA". It matches the Rfam family "Bacterial small subunit ribosomal RNA", at positions 291 to 940 of the family's 1533-position model. Lineage: Eukaryota; Fungi; Ascomycota; Sordariomycetes; Hypocreales; Nectriaceae. The record is from RNAcentral.